UUUGGGGACAGGUGUCCGUGUCGCGCGUUUCGUGGGCCGGCGGUGUGGUCGGUGACUCGACCUCCCG
Molecule: small RNA, 67 nt
Filed under: Gorilla gorilla gorilla (western lowland gorilla)
Lineage: Eukaryota; Metazoa; Chordata; Mammalia; Primates; Hominidae
Description: NoRC associated RNA, pRNA (ENSGGOG00000042261.1)
Rfam family: NoRC associated RNA, pRNA
Source: RNAcentral